UCAAACUUGGUCAUUUAGAGGAAGUAAAAGUCGUAACAAGGUUUCCGUAGGUGAACCUGCGGAAGGAUCAUUACAAAGUAUCGGCCGGUCAGCGCCGGCAUGGCCGCUGCAGGCACCGGCGGGCCCCCCCCGCCGGUGCUGACAGUUGACCCUUUGUGUAAACCCUUUGUAGCUUUGGAAACCCUUUUUUUUUAGAAAGGAAGCAUUGAUUAAUGUCUGAAGACGCAGUCGAAUGACAUGCAAAAACUUUCAACAACGGAUCUCUUGGUUCCCGCAUCGAUGAAGAACGCAGC
RNAcentral lists this unclassified non-coding RNA (293 nucleotides) under uncultured fungus. RNAcentral's name for it is "partial contains small subunit ribosomal RNA, internal transcribed spacer 1, and 5.8S ribosomal RNA". The stretch from base 1 to 73 matches the Rfam family "Eukaryotic small subunit ribosomal RNA", at positions 1759 to 1831 of the family's 1831-position model. Lineage: Eukaryota; Fungi. The record is from RNAcentral.